RNAcentral lists this ribosomal RNA (1346 nucleotides) under uncultured bacterium. Its description in RNAcentral is "bacterial SSU rRNA". It matches the Rfam family "Bacterial small subunit ribosomal RNA", at positions 28 to 1381 of the family's 1533-position model. The record is from RNAcentral.
GACGAACGCUGGCGGCGUGCUUAACACAUGCAAGUCGAACGGAAAGGCCCUGCUUUUGUGGGGUGCUCGAGUGGCGAACGGGUGAGUAACACGUGAGUAACCUGCCCUUGACUUUGGGAUAACUUCAGGAAACUGGGGCUAAUACCGGAUAGGAGCUCCUGCUGCAUGGUGGGGGUUGGAAAGUUUCGGCGGUUGGGGAUGGACUCGCGGCUUAUCAGCUUGUUGGUGGGGUAGUGGCUUACCAAGGCUUUGACGGGUAGCCGGCCUGAGAGGGUGACCGGCCACAUUGGGACUGAGAUACGGCCCAGACUCCUACGGGAGGCAGCAGUGGGGAAUAUUGCACAAUGGGCGGAAGCCUGAUGCAGCAACGCCGCGUGCGGGAUGACGGCCUUCGGGUUGUAAACCGCUUUCGCCUGUGACGAAGCGUGAGUGACGGUAAUGGGUAAAGAAGCACCGGCUAACUACGUGCCAGCAGCCGCGGUGAUACGUAGGGUGCGAGCGUUGUCCGGAUUUAUUGGGCGUAAAGGGCUCGUAGGUGGUUGAUCGCGUCGGAAGUGUAAUCUUGGGGCUUAACCCUGAGCGUGCUUUCGAUACGGGUUGACUUGAGGAAGGUAGGGGAGAAUGGAAUUCCUGGUGGAGCGGUGGAAUGCGCAGAUAUCAGGAGGAACACCAGUGGCGAAGGCGGUUCUCUGGGCCUUUCCUGACGCUGAGGAGCGAAAGCGUGGGGAGCGAACAGGCUUAGAUACCCUGGUAGUCCACGCUGUAAACGGUGGGUACUAGGUGUGGGGUCCAUUCCACGGGUUCCGUGCCGUAGCUAACGCUUUAAGUACCCCGCCUGGGGAGUACGGCCGCAAGGCUAAAACUCAAAGGAAUUGACGGGGCCCCGCACAAGCGGCGGAGCAUGCGGAUUAAUUCGAUGCAACGCGUAGAACCUUACCUGGGUUUGACAUGGAUCGGGAGCGCUCAGAGAUGGGUGUGCCUCUUUUGGGGUCGGUUCACAGGUGGUGCAUGGCUGUCGUCAGCUCGUGUCGUGAGAUGUUGGGUUAAGUCCCGCAACGAGCGCAACCCUUGUUCACUGUUGCCAGCACGUUAUGGUGGGGACUCAGUGGAGACCGCCGGGGUCAACUCGGAGGAAGGUGGGGAUGACGUCAAGUCAUCAUGCCCCUUAUGUCCAGGGCUUCACGCAUGCUACAAUGGCUGGUACAGAGAGUGGCGAGCCUGUGAGGGUGAGCGAAUCUCGGAAAGCCGGUCUCAGUUCGGAUUGGGGUCUGCAACUCGACCUCAUGAAGUCGGAGUCGCUAGUAAUCGCAGAUCAGCAACGCUGCGGUGAAUACAAUCCCGGGGCU